CAGCAGCCGCGGGAAAACGUAGGGUGCGAGCGUUAAUCGGAAUUACUGGGCGUAAAGCGUGCGCAGGCGGUUCGUUAAGACAGAUGUGAAAUCCCCGGGCUAAACCUGGGAACUGCAUUUGUGACUGGCAAGCUAGAGUAUGGCAGAGGGGGGUGGAAUUCCGCGUGUAGUAGUGAAAUGCGUAGAUAUGCGGAGGAACACCGAUGGCGAAGGCAGCCCCCUGGGCCAAUACUGACGCUCAUGCACGAAAGCGUGGGGAGCAAACAGGAUUAGAUACCCCUGUAGUCCCUGUCUCUUAUAC
This 301-nucleotide ribosomal RNA is filed under the name uncultured bacterium. RNAcentral describes it as "partial 16S ribosomal RNA". It matches the Rfam family "Bacterial small subunit ribosomal RNA", at positions 509 to 807 of the family's 1533-position model. The record is from RNAcentral.